RNAcentral lists this ribosomal RNA (286 nucleotides) under uncultured bacterium. Its description in RNAcentral is "partial 16S ribosomal RNA". It matches the Rfam family "Bacterial small subunit ribosomal RNA", at positions 333 to 636 of the family's 1533-position model. The record is from RNAcentral.
GAACUCCUACGGGGUGCAGCAGUGGGGGAUAUUGCACAAUGGGGGAAACCCUAAUGCAGCGACGCCGCGUGUGGGAAGACGGUCUUCUGGAUUGUAAACCACUGUCCCCAGGGACGAAAAUGACGGUACCUGGGGAGGAAGCUCCGGCUAACUACAUGCCAGCAGCCGCGGUAAUACGUAGGGAGCAAGCGUUGUCCGGAAUUACUGGGUGUAAAGGGAGCGUAGGCGGGGAUGCAAGUUGGGUGUCAAAACUACCGGCUCAAACGAUAGUCGCACUCAAAACUGC